This 253-nucleotide ribosomal RNA is filed under the name uncultured bacterium. Its description in RNAcentral is "partial 16S ribosomal RNA". It matches the Rfam family "Bacterial small subunit ribosomal RNA", at positions 524 to 776 of the family's 1533-position model. The record is from RNAcentral.
UACGUAGGGGGCUAGCGUUGUCCGGAAUCAUUGGGCGUAAAGCGCGUGCAGGCGGCUUGGUAAGUCGGGUGUGAAAUCCCGGGGCUCAACCCCGGAACUGCACCCGAUACUGCCUCGCUCGAGUCCCGGAGAGGAUGGCGGAAUUUCCGGUGUAGAGGUGAAAUUCGUAGAUAUCGGAAGGAACACCAGCGGCGAAGGCGGCCAUCUGGACGGUGACUGACGCUCAGACGCGAAAGCGUGGGGAGCAAACAGG